CCUACGGGAGGCAGCAGUGAGGAAUAUUGGUCAAUGGCCGGAAGGCUGAACCAGCCAAGCCGCGUGAGGGAGGAAGGCGCAGAGCGUCGCAGACCUCUUUUGCCGGGGGACAAAAGGCCGGACUCGUCCGGUCCUGAGGGUACCCGGAGAAAAAGCAUCGGCUAACUCCGUGCCAGCCGCCGCGGUAAUACGGAGGAUGCGAGCGUUAUCCGGAUUUAUUGGGGUUAAAGGGUGCGCAGGGGGGCCUUUAAGUCGGCGGUGAAAUCGCGGGGCUCAACCCCGCCGAGCCGUUGAAACUGGGGGGCUUGAGUGCGGGAGAGGGAUGCGGAAUGCGCGGUGUAGCGGUGAAAUGCAUAGAUAUCGCGCAGAACCCCGAUUGCGAAGGCAGCGUGCCGGGCCGCCACUGACGCUGAGGCACGAAAGCGUGGGGAUCGAACAGGAUUAGAUACCCUAGUAGUC
Molecule: ribosomal RNA, 459 nt
Filed under: uncultured bacterium
Lineage: Bacteria
Description: partial 16S ribosomal RNA
Rfam family: Bacterial small subunit ribosomal RNA
Source: RNAcentral